Brassica oleracea var. oleracea is the source of this 658-nucleotide long non-coding RNA. RefSeq lists it as uncharacterized. The transcript is spliced from 3 exons. Lineage: Eukaryota; Viridiplantae; Streptophyta; Magnoliopsida; Brassicales; Brassicaceae. The record is from RefSeq and is a predicted model, not a curated record.
AAAAAAAGGAAACAAAAAAAAAAGAACACGGCGACCGCUUGUAACCCUCCUUCGUUGAAAGCUACGGAGAGUCACGGAGAAGAAAAAAAAAGGAGCAAAGAAGAGUAUCAGAGAAGAAGGUCAUGAGAGGAGGGAGAACAGUGAAGAUUUCAAUCUAUAAUGUUGUUUUCGGAGAUGUUAUACUCUUAGAAUAGGUGACCAGGUCCCUGCGGAUGGAGUGCUAAUUAGUGGCCAUUCUCUUGCCAUUGAUGAAUCUAGCAUGACCUGUGAAAGCAAGAUUGUCCACAAGGAUCAAAAUCUCCUUUUCUAAUGUCUGGUUGUAAAGUAGCUGACGGAGUCGGUAAUAUGAUGACCUGUCUUUGGUCCUAUUGAUGUUAGAGUCACAUAGAAGAAGAGGAGCAAACAAGAAUAGCACGAAAGAAGCUACAAAGAAUGAAAAAGGAGAAGAAGGAAGCUUGAAACGCAAGAAACGAAGGAACAAGAAGAAGUAAGCAAAGAGAGACGUAGAAGAAGAAAGUCAACUUGAGAGCACAUUGGUUACAAACCAACGAGAAGUUGAGGACACCUAUUUUGUUGUUGUUUAAGUGCAUGUGUUGUAGUUAGUGAGCAACUACUAUAAGUAUGUGUGGUGUUAUAAGAAAGAUAAAUCCAAUUCUAA